UCCCUGUGCGAUGCUAAGCUCGUCA
RNAcentral lists this non-coding RNA (25 nucleotides) under Rattus norvegicus (Norway rat). Lineage: Eukaryota; Metazoa; Chordata; Mammalia; Rodentia; Muridae. The record is from RNAcentral.